ACCACUCGGAAAGACUUACACAAAAUACUUUAUUCCGAUUAAAUUCCAGUAAAAAAACAACCUAUUUUUUGUCUGUCAACCAAUAACCCAAUAAGCACAAACAAGAGUUAAAGAGUACAGCGAGAGAAGAGACAGGUCCCUAUGCCCACGGUCCUGCUGUGGUAGAAGACGCAGCAGACGGAAGGAGAGGAGGUCGCCCUCUCCGGGUACGGAAGGAGAGGAGGACGCACCACCUUCUACCGGCGUCAAUUGCCGCGAGGACGCUCGCCCCCUGUGCUCACGCCACGUCUGUCACUGGUCCACACUGCUCUGUCGGCGGCCGGCGGACACCCGCCAAGAAAGUGCACGACAUCUGGCACGGUAAGAUACUGCUCCUACACAAGGUCCUUUACCUUUGUUUACUUUGACCUACGAGUAGUACAUAAAGUACUUCUUUAAACGUACAGACCCCGUACAGAGGCAUAUUUUCCGGCUAGAGACGUGUUGUCAUCAAAGAAGUCCAAUACCACAGGCUAAAAAAAGUAGAGUAAAACGGUACGUGAUCUAAUGUACCAAUUAUGACAGUGAUACGUUAUUGACCCUUCUAAUACCUCCCUUCCCUGUUAUACAUUCUACCCCGUUCCUCCGACCACAUCUAGAACGAAGAGUACUACUGAAGUAUAGACUACGUUGUGAAGUCUCGAUGAUGUUUUCGAAAAAAAUCCUUCGAUGAUGUUUCGAAAAAAAGCCUUCGAUGCUGUUUCGAAAACAAGUCCUUUAUACAGCUUCGUGUCUUAUAUAAGGUAAACGUCACCUGAUGGUCUUGUUGUGUUGUGUAUUUUUCUCCUCAUAUUCACCUUUGGAAAGAAAGAGAAAUUUAAGAACUCCUGCCAUUGUAAUACUACUUCCACCUUGGUAUCUCUCUACACAUAAAAAUUAACUCUAUAAAAGUCCUCAUGGAAACGUUUCGACUAUAUAGAAAGAAAAUGUUCUAUACCAACGUGAACGAAGUAGAUGUAUCCGGCAGACCUUACGGUACUCCGGCCCUAACCACAUCCUUUAGAAGUUUCGAUAAUAUAACCAGAGGUCUUUGAACGUUAUGUAGUUACGUAAAAAUAAAAAUAAAAAAACGACUGUGGUGUCGAUGGUGGAGAAGUGAUUUACUGUCUCCAACGGUCGUUGACGUGUACCUUUCUAACUUACAAUAUAAGACAGAUGAUUAGUUAUUCCUCCCUCUAGUUUAAUGACGAGAGUUUAUAAGUGGACUAACUAAAACUUUUAUCCCAAUUUUUACCACAAUACUUACUUCUACCUACCCCCACUCCCGACCCUCUUUCUACAACAUAACGUUCUUCUUCAACCAAUUCUUCUGACUACUAAUACUCUUACUUCCUGUGCUUGAAAACUUAAUCUGGUUAACAAACUAGCUAGUAAAAACAAGAGAACUUUUGCUACAUACCAGUUAAAAUCAUAAGACUACACUAACUUCUUAUAUCCUCCCUGUUUCUCUACACGAUAACGGUCCUGUUAAUACUGAGAUAAGUCCAUAAGUCAAUACUAAGAGGUACCAGUACGAAGAGGACAAGUGGACCUUCAAAUAACUACCCUCCCUUCGGUGAAGACGAAACUACUAAAGAACUUUCAAGUCCAAUUUUG
Molecule: ribosomal RNA, 1635 nt
Filed under: Triticum aestivum (bread wheat)
Lineage: Eukaryota; Viridiplantae; Streptophyta; Magnoliopsida; Poales; Poaceae
Description: partial small subunit ribosomal RNA
Source: RNAcentral